This 534-nucleotide ribosomal RNA is filed under the name uncultured bacterium. Its description in RNAcentral is "partial 16S ribosomal RNA". It matches the Rfam family "Bacterial small subunit ribosomal RNA", at positions 356 to 900 of the family's 1533-position model. The record is from RNAcentral.
GGGGAAUAUUGCACAAUGGGCGAAAGCCUGAUGCAGCGACGCCGCGUGCGGGAUGAAGGCCUUCGGGUUGUAAACCGCUUUUGAUUGGGAGCAAGCGAGAGUGAGUGUACCUUUCGAAUAAGCACCGGCUAACUACGUGCCAGCAGCCGCGGUAAUACGUAGGGUGCAAGCGUUAUCCGGAAUUAUUGGGCGUAAAGAGCUCGUAGGCGGUUUGUCGCGUCUGGUGUGAAAGUCCAUCGCUUAACGGUGGAUCUGCGCCGGGUACGGGCAGGCUAGAGUGCGACAGGGGAGACUGGAAUUCCCGGUGUAACGGUGGAAUGUGUAGAUAUCGGGAAGAACACCAAUGGCGAAGGCAGGUCUCUGGGUCGUCACUGACGCUGAAGAGCGAAAGCGUGGGGAGCGAACAGGAUUAGAUACCCUGGUAGUCCACGCCGUAAACGGUGGAUGCUGGAUGUGGGGCCCAUUCCACGGGUUCCGUGUCGGAGCUAACGCGUUAAGCAUCCCGCCUGGGGAGUACGGCCGCAAGGCUAAAAC